UUUAACGGCCGCGGUAUCCUGACCGUGCAAAGGUAGCGCAAUCAAUUGUCCCAUAAAUCGGGACCAGUAUGAAUGGCUAAACGAGGUCUUAACUGUCUCUUACAGGCAAUCGGUGAAAUUAAUCUCCCUGUGCAAAAGCAGGGAUAAACCCAUAAGACGAGAAGACCCUGUGGAACUUUAAAAUCAGCGACCACCCUAACGAACAUACACACCCAACACGGGCUCACUCAUCCGUUAAGCCACUGGUCCGCAUUUUUUCGGUUGGGGCGACCUUGGAGCAAAACAAAACCUCCAAACACUGGACCACACCUCCAGACCAAGAGCAACACCUCAAAGUGCUAAAAGCACCCAGAUCCAAUAUAAUUGAUCAAUGGACCAAGCUACCCCAGGGAUAACAGCGCAAUCUCCUCCAAGAGUCCAUAUCGACGGGGAGGUUUACGACCUCGAUGUUGGAUCAGGACAUCCUAGUGGUGCAGCCGCUACUAA
This 486-nucleotide ribosomal RNA is filed under the name Hippolais polyglotta (melodious warbler). RNAcentral's name for it is "partial 16S ribosomal RNA". It matches the Rfam family "Bacterial large subunit ribosomal RNA", at positions 1923 to 2568 of the family's 2925-position model. The record is from RNAcentral. Lineage: Eukaryota; Metazoa; Chordata; Aves; Passeriformes; Sylviidae.